GCCCCCGUGGUCCAAGGGAGAAGGGCGCUGGUCUUCUAAACCAGGCGAUGCGGGUUCGAGUCCUGCCGGGGGCA
This 74-nucleotide transfer RNA is filed under the name Myxococcales bacterium. RNAcentral describes it as "tRNA-Arg". It matches the Rfam family "tRNA". From Rfam's summary of the family: Transfer RNA (tRNA) molecules are approximately 80 nucleotides in length. Their secondary structure includes four short double-helical elements and three loops (D, anti-codon, and T loops). Lineage: Bacteria; Pseudomonadati; Myxococcota; Myxococcia; Myxococcales. RNAcentral also lists the same sequence under 2 other names. The record is from RNAcentral.